RNAcentral lists this long non-coding RNA (703 nucleotides) under Callithrix jacchus (white-tufted-ear marmoset). Its description in RNAcentral is "lncRNA (ENSCJAG00000079593.1)". Lineage: Eukaryota; Metazoa; Chordata; Mammalia; Primates; Cebidae. The record is from RNAcentral.
GCAGGCCUUCCAUACAAACAAAACUGUAGGCUGGAGAUAGCGAGAGACUAAUAAAGCUCUAUGUAAUGGACAAAUUUCAGUUUAUCCUCAUGGCUUUCAGCUCAUUCUCAAAUAUUCUAGCUUGUCUUUCUUCUCUCUCACUUUAUUUCUUUUUUCCCUUUCUAGCUUUCGGAUCAUCAACUGACAUAGGGGAAGAAGACUUCCAUAGGAUGCUCAACCACCACCCAAGAUCAUGUAAAGCCAAGAUGUAGGCUAUGUCUGAUAUAAACAGUAAGUAAACAUGGUUUUGAAAUGGAAAUGGACUUAGAAGUAGAUCUGAUGCUAUAAGUACCUCUAAUCCUGACGCAAAUAUGCCAUUAGUGAAUUCUAUAAUAUAUGUAAGGUGGAAAUUUUUCUCAGCAGGGAAAAUAAAGUAAGAAUUUGAAAUAACGUGAUGUGAGCUGGUCUAAUUUUCCACUCUGUGUCACACGUUGAUGGCCCUUAUAAUUCAUACCUGGGGGAAAGUACAAGCAAAGCAGGAGGAGUCUGAAGCCAUAUAAGUCCUACUAUAUUAGUGAAAGUGCCGGUUAAAGAACACGUUAUAUUAUCAACAAGAAAUCAUAAGACCAUUAGUGCAUAUUUAAGCAGGAAAAUAAUUUGGUUUAAGAGGAUUAGAAAUCCCUAGUUUCUAGUUAAAAGUAAUUCAACCACAUAGCAAAUAAAC